UGGUGGAGUGAUUUGUCUGGUUAAUUCCGUUAACGAACGAGACCUCGACCUGCUAAAUAGUUUGGCCAAUUCUUCGGGAUUGGUCUAAACUUCUUAGAGGGACUAUCGGUGAUUUAGCCGACGGAAGUUCGAGGCAAUAACA
Molecule: ribosomal RNA, 142 nt
Filed under: uncultured eukaryote
Lineage: Eukaryota
Description: partial 18S ribosomal RNA
Rfam family: Eukaryotic small subunit ribosomal RNA
Source: RNAcentral